RNAcentral lists this ribosomal RNA (152 nucleotides) under uncultured ciliate. RNAcentral describes it as "partial 18S ribosomal RNA". It matches the Rfam family "Eukaryotic small subunit ribosomal RNA", at positions 338 to 489 of the family's 1831-position model. The record is from RNAcentral. Lineage: Eukaryota; Ciliophora.
GGACUACCAUGGCUCUCACGGGUAACAGGGAAUUUGGGUUCGAUUCUGGAGAAGGAGCCUGAGAAACGGCUACUACAUCUACGGAAGGCAGCAGGCGCGUAAAUUACCCAAUCCUGACUCAGGGAGGUGGUGACAAGAUAUAACAACGCGAU